Non-coding RNA from Cinara cedri, 258 nucleotides. NCBI's taxonomy places the organism in Eukaryota, Metazoa, Arthropoda, Insecta, Hemiptera, Aphididae. The record is from the annotation of a GenBank genome assembly.
UCAGCUAUAUACGUGCGGCACCAGUUUUGAAAAGGAAUGUUGUCCAGAUGGUACUUUUCAGAGGUCAUUUUUUGAUUUUCCAGGCGAUUAUCAUAGUAUAUGGGAAAAACCUGGAUGAAAUGUAAGAAAAACGGGAAAUGUACUAAACGUAGGUAUUUUAAAAUAUUAUUAUAGUCUUUUUUUCUGUGUGCAACUUUUCCACCAGCAAUUUCGUUCCGACUUAAAAUGAUGGUAAUUUUCUGAAUAGAAAUGUGACUG